Molecule: ribosomal RNA, 406 nt
Filed under: uncultured bacterium
Lineage: Bacteria
Description: partial 16S ribosomal RNA
Rfam family: Bacterial small subunit ribosomal RNA
Source: RNAcentral
UCGAGAAUCUUCCGCAAUGGACGAAAGUCUGACGGAGCGACGCCGCGUGGAGGAUGAAGUUCUUCGGAAUGUAAACUCCUUUUGCCAGGGAAAAAGUUAUUGAUUGUACCUGGAGAAUAAGAAGUUGCUAAACUCGUGCCAGCAGCAGCGGUAAUACGAGUGCUUCGAGCGUUAUCCGGAAUCAUUGGGCGUAAAGGGUGUGUAGGCGGCGAUGUUAGUCUCAUGUUAAAUCUUUCGGCUUAACCGAGAGUCUGCAUGGGAAACGGCAUUGCUUAGAGGACGGAAGAGGUCACUGGAACUCAUGGUGUAGCGGUGAAAUGCGUUGAUAUCAUGGGGAACACCAAAAGCGAAGGCAAGUGACUGGUCCGCUCCUGACGCUGAAACACGAAAGCGUGGGUCGCGAAUG